This is a long non-coding RNA of Mirounga angustirostris (Northern elephant seal), 12642 nucleotides long. RefSeq lists it as uncharacterized. Lineage: Eukaryota; Metazoa; Chordata; Mammalia; Carnivora; Phocidae. The record is from RefSeq and is a predicted model, not a curated record. The transcript is spliced from 4 exons.
AAUGCUAACUGGCUCUUCAAGGCUCCUCCAGGUCCCUGAGCAACCAGGCUGGUCCCUCCACUGCCGGGCCUCGGUGCAGAGAAGCAGCCCGCGGAGGCCACCGACGCCCACACUGUCCGCAGGAGCGCAGCCAAGGUGACAUUGUGGCAUGCGGCCCCCGGCUGCCCCCGCAAUGCCAUCAGCAUUAUUCAGGAAGCUUCUGCUGCCGUGACGUGCCAUUGCCCAGCUGACCCAGUGAGAAAGCUGGAUGUGCUGCAGGCCAACCGAAAACACCAAAGCCGAGCCGACCCACAGCAACGCGAGGGAGUUGUUAAAACGACUUAAAAAAAGAAGAAAAAGAGAAGUCUCUGGCCUCGUCAGCGUAGCAUGGAUUCAAAUGGCAAAGCACGGGAAAGCUUCCAAAGAAUUUUUGACUCAAGGAGGCAUAGUGGUCCCAAGAGCCUGUCCCUUUGGCAGCGGGGCCAGAGCGAGCUUCCCAUAAAGAGCGUCACUUACCGCCACGAGUUACGAGAGCCUAGCAGCUCCUUGGCGGUCUUCAUUCGCCACCGCCUGCCGCCUUUCAUCAACGGGGGUGUGACGGUCAGCGGGAAGACCCCAGGACAGUGCUCUUCGCCUCCCUCGGCGCGGGGGCCGCCCGUGUUCGUGGCUCCGGAAGAGGAGUGCUCUCCACACGGGGUCCUGGGCCUCGGCCCCUUGUCCCUCCUGCCUCCCUAUGUGACACCUGCUCCUCAGGAGGACACAGCCCCUCCCCCCCGUGGGUUUCGGCAGACAUACAGCAAGAGCAAUAAAUAAACCAUCGUUGCUGAAAGCACAGAAAUCUGGAGGCUACUUGUUACUGCAGCAUAACCUAGGCUCUCUGGGCUGAUACAUCACUUGUCAAGUGCAUUCUUUGAAAAAUGGCUGGAUCCACAAAGGGCAAAAGGAAAGCAAAGCGGAAACAGAUGAAGAGAGACGAGACCCACGUUAGAUAACAGCCUCUUUGCUGGCCUCAGGUCCUGGGAGCCGAAGUCUAGAGGGCCAAAAUGAAGUUUUGUCCCUAGGCCAUGUGAACAAAUAACCCACAACACAAUGAAACAAGAGCUCUAGGAGAGAAGAGUUGAAUGGCAGGGAGGAGGAACGGCCCCCAGAGAACCUUUUACUGCAUCAGUUGAAUCUUAGAGAUCUGGAACGACGUAAAGAGAAGGCUUUGGAGUAUGUGGUAAUGCGGCCUCUUGUUGGUGACGACUCUUGCGGGCGCUGCUGGGGGCUGAGGCAGCCCUGCCAUGUCACACGCCUUCACAGUAAAUACGCCUCAGUGAGUCAGCAGGUGCAAGGAGGGGGAAGGCUUCCCUCUAGCCACAAAGAGAAAAGAGAGAAGGCUUGGAAGGCUAGAGAGGUUAUAUUCCUGUGUCCUUCCAGAGAACAACAGAACACACUCUGAUACGACGUACCGACUGUGUCACUUCUGAGGUGAGGCGUUUUUAAGAAGUAAAACUAAGGGGCACCUGGGUGGCUCAGUUGGUUAAGCGACUGCCUUCAGCUCAGGUCAUGAUCCUGGAGUCCCGGGAUCGAGUCCCGCAUCGGGCUCCCUGCUCAGCGGGGAGCCUGCUUCUCCCUCUGACCCUCCCCCCUCUCAUGUGCUCUCUCUCUCUCAUUCUCUCUCUCAAAUAAAUAAAUAAAAUCUUAAAAAAAAAAAAAAGAAGUAAAACUAAAAGCAAGUGAUUGCUGUUCAGCAUGGUGCUCCAUCGGGACCCCAAGGCCAAGGGCGAGGCCAAGACGGGUUGUCUCAGAGGUAAAAGUAAGCAAAUGCCUUAAAGUGCUUGUCUGGGGGCUGGGAGAUGGAGUGUGGCAAGAAAAGAGAGAAAUGUGUUAACUCGAGAAAGAUCAGAGAACUCAGAGAACGGGAAAUCUCUUUUUAUCUUGAAAAGGUAAUCAUGUUCUUGACUAAGAGUAGUUAACAGCUCAUUUUGAGGGAAACUGAAUGAAUGGAAUACUAGAAAGAAUUUUCUGGAAAGUGUUUAAGGCUUGGCUGAAUGAACAGCAUGAUCCACCCUUGGGGAGAAAUGUAGUUGUUCCGCAGUACCUGUGGGUACCUCAAGGGUUUCGGCUUGAGAAGGAUUCUUUGCACCAACUGGGUGUUUCUGGUAAUCCGGUGAGAAGCCUCUGGGAAAGAGCCAGUGAGCAUAACUAAUUUUUAAAAGUCAGCGUCAGAGGCGACGGGUGUGUCUGGAGACAGCAAGCUGUCUGUCCCUUGGGGCCAACCACCAGAGCGCUCGUGUACUUGCGGUGAGAAGCCAAAAGGGGUGUUUCCCCGCAAACAGGAGCACAAGCAGCUGGCUGGGGAUGCUCCCUAGAGGUUGAAAAGGGCAGAGAUUCUUGGCCUCUGCCACUUGGCUGACAGCUUGUGGACCUCAGCUGUGGGGCCAGCCCAGCCUGGGGUGCUCUGCCGUCUCCCCCCACCAACUCCCGGGGGUGCUUAUGCAGGUGGACGCUCUGUGGGAAAGAGAACGGAAGAGCUAGCAGGCUUUGGGAAGCACCAGGAAGUCCUUGAACGCGACAGGCCAUGAGACCUGAGAGCAGAAGUCCUGAGGAGGGACUUCCCAUAACGACACCAAAGAGAGCACCAGGCCCUAAGGACAGUGGGCCACAUUUUCCCACUGCACUCUUCUACCUCAUACUCUUCCAAGGCAGGAAAGGCAGAGUGAUCUGCUGCCCAGGUUCUGGCAUCCAUAGGAUUUUGUCCACCCUGUGUUAGUGAGAUAUUUCCACCCUGGCUGUCCAGAAUGGUGUCUCCAAGCUUGUCUGAUUGCAUGCUCCAUCAAUAAGACUUUUGAGCAUGCAUCCCGGUGUGCAUUUCUUUACUUCUAAAUUAUAGACAUGAACUCCUAUAUGGUAUGCAUGUUAUGAAGCAUACACAAAAAUAGAAAUUACAGAAGAAUGAGAUAAAAAUUAAGGUAUAAUAGAAAUUUUAUUAUUUCCUUCCAGUGGAGUUCCUUAUGCAGCCUAUAGGGUACAUGGGCCCCCUUUGAAGGUCCCAGGAGGUGGUAGGAAUCAUUUGGUGGUGACUAGCUGGACAGUCCAUUAUCAAACCACUCUUCUGUCAUCAGCAUAUGUGACAUCAGGAGCUUAGGUGAUAUUGGUUCAAUUCUCAUUCCAAAGUGGCAUGGGAAAGUCACCCGUCACCAAGGGAGUGAAGUGGUCUUACUAUAGUGGUGUAAGAUUUAAGCUUACCCCCAUGCCCAGGGGAUUAGCUGUUGUUUUCACAUACAAAUAAGCUCAAUUUUGGCCUACAGACAAAGGAAACAAAAGGAAAAGUGAGGAUAAUAGCUGUGAACUCAUUGGAAGAAAUAAGGUAGGGAGAGUCAUUAUAUAUAAUUUCUCAGGUUCUUCUUUCUCUUUCCAUUACUCCUGAAAGGCACUUUAAUGACACUAAUUACAUCUAUCUAUUAAGUAUUUUGUCUGAUCCUCUAUAAUUAAAUUGUGAUUAUUAGGGACAGAUAUAAGAAGGCUGAUUUUCCUCUGAUGGUUAUUUCCAGAAGAUUUGCUCAGUUUAAAAAUUGCUCCCUUUAAAAUUACUAUGUCUAGUUUUAGAGUGUCCAUGAAAUAGAAACAUUGACAUCUUUUGAGACUAUCUCAAAUCAUUAUGAUUCUUGGUUAUAGAAUUGAGUUCUAGAGAAUUGUGUGCAAUUACACAUGAACUUUGCCAAUGCUUUCCAGUUCAUUAUUUCUCUAAGUAGUAGUGGGAUUUUAGAAUGAUUAAAUUACUGUUAAGCUGUGGCCUCAUAGUUUUCUUAUGGACACAGUAUGUAAUGGUGGCGUCCUUGGCAUCUGUGUAAAGUAGCACCAAGAUGUCAUCGGUGCCAGUAACAUGCUUACUGCUAAAGAUUCAGGGAGAAGUUUUCAAAACAUAAUCAAGAGACAAAAGACCAUUGAAAUGUAUUACAAAGUAGUUUGAGAAAUCACCAUUCAUUCACUAGAUCAUAAGCUCCCUGAUGGUACAGAUUUUGUUUAGUUCAUUGUUAUAUCCCUAGUGCCUAAAAUUGUUCCUGGCACAGAGGAGGGAGGUGCUUAGUGAAUAUUGGUGGAAUGAAUGAAUGAAUUUAUAGAAGAUGCAAAGCCAAAAUAUUAUCAUCAGUAGAGAAUUAUAAAUUCGCCUAAGGAACAAAGAACCAACUAUCUUUGGGGGGGGGGCAGAAUGUAAGUGAGAUAAUUAUAAUUUUUUUAAAAUGAAUGAAUGGAGCAGAAAUGUUAAUGAGAAAUGAAAUUUUAAAAUUUCCUUUCAAGCUAUGCCAAAGGAAAGCUUGAUUGUGGCCCAAUGUUUAAUAUAUACAUUAGGAAGAGUAACACAUUUAAAAAAAAAAAAAAAGACUUUAUUUAUUUAUUUGACAGAAAGAGAAAGAGAGCACAUGCAGGGGGAGAGGGAGAAGCAGCGUCCCCGCUGAGCAGAGAGCCCGAUGCGGGGCUUGAUCCCAGGACCCUGAGAUCAUGACCUGAGCCGAAGGCAGACACUUAACCAACUGAGCCACCCAGGCGCCCUGAAAGAGUAAUACAUUCUUAUCAUAUAAUAAUGUUUAAAAAUUUGCUAAAAAUGCAUCUGAACUAAUAUGCAAAUUAUGGCUAUGGGUCAGGAGAUCUUGGAGUAAAACUGUCCGAGCAGAGGGUGAUUUGCCUCUGAGAGCUCCUGGACACAAGGGAAGGAGGAAUGGCAGCCCCUCCUUAUAGAUAUACACUGAGCACUGCACGGGGCCCUGAGGCUACAGAGCAGACACUGAAUUGGUCCAUGAACUCAAAGAUCUCAUAAUUAAGCAAAGCAGCAGGUGUGUGUUGGGGGGGUGGGGAAUGCCUAGGCUAGCAUGAAAAUGUGGACCAGUGUAGUAUCUGCACAGAGAGCUGGCGGGCUCUGGCGCAGGAGACCAGAACACGUGCACCCACGCAUCUGAGCGCACCUGCCACACAAGGAAGGAGGGGAAUGGCUUUUAAGGGGCAAUUGUGCCUGAGGCCAUCUGACACACAGGAUGGGCAUGAGAAAGCCUGAGUUAGUCGGCUCAGGCUGCCUUAACAGAAGAGCAGUCUGAGUGGCUUAGACAGCAGAAAUUUACUUUCUCACAGUCUGAAGGCUGAAAGUCAGCGAACCAGGUGCCGGUGGGGCUGGUUUCCUCGGAGGCCUCUCUCCGUGGCUGGCAGACGGCUGCCCUCUUGCUGCCUCUUCACGUGGUGGUCCCUCUGUGCACGCACAUCCCUGGUGUCUGUCUGUGUGUCCUGAUGUCUUCUUCUUAUAAGGACACCAGUCAGAUGGAAUUAGGGCCAUCCUCAGGGUCUCAUUUGAACUUAAUCACCUCUUUUUAAAGGUCCUAUCUCCAAACGCGGUCACAAUCAGAGGUACUGGGAUUAGGGCUUCAGCGUAUGAAUUUUAUGGGGAGGACAAUUUCAGCCCGUCACAGGAUGUAAAGUGACAGUUCUCAAAGUGUGAUGACAUGGACCUCUGGGCGUCUCCAAGGUCCUCUAGGGAGGUCUGCAAAAUCAAAAUUUUUAUCGUAAUAGUGCUAAAUGUUAGUUGCCGUUUUCACUGUGUUGCCAUUUGCUCUGAUGCUACACAAGGCGGGGGUGGGGGGUUGGGGAGUGUAAGCUGCUGUUGCCUUAAUCCAAAGCAUGGCACUGGCUCAGCCUGCCCCAGCAGUCAUAGAUUCUUCACUGCUGUCCUUGGUGGGUUAAAAAAAAAAGCGGCUAGUUUUUCCAUAAGAAUGUCCUUGGUAAAGCAGUAUAAACUAGUAAUUUUAUUAAAUCUUGACCUUUCACUAUGUCUCUUGACUAUUCUGUGUGACGAAACAGAAAGUGCACACAAAGCAUUUCUACUGCCAUCCAGCCACCAUGGUGACGUCAAGGAAAAGCACUUGUACAGUUGUUUGAGUUGUGGGCUGAACUAACUGCUUUCUUCAUGGGACACUCUUUGUACUUGGAAGAACAACUGGCAACUAUGGUUAUUCAGACGUGAUGGCUUGGUAGAAUUUUCUUAAAAAUGAACCAAGUGAGCUUGUCACACCAAGGAAAAGCAACCGACAGUAUUUGUUUCCUUUGAGCUUUUAUAAGCAAAAAUUAGAUUUAGAAAAAUCUUGUAUCAGGCAUCAUAAGUUUGACAGCUUCCUAGUGCUUAAAGGCUUUUCAGAUGAGAUUGGUGCUGAAAUCAUGUAAUGAAAUGGGUCAUUGGAAGAUCUCCACAACUCAGUGAACCAGUAUUUUCCAAAUAGUUAUAAAUGAUGUUAUAAAAUUAUGCAUGGGCAUGAAUGAAAGAUCAUCCAAAGUGCAAGAUGGACCAAUAGACUAAUGCAACUGACAGGAAAUUUCACUGAUAUGGUUUCGGAUCCCACAUUACAGCUAACUUUAAGAAAUUGUUCUUGUCUACUUUUGGUGAGGUUUAAAGAAGAAUAUCCACAAUUGUAUGAAAAAGCUAUGAAUAUUCUCCUCUCUCUUCCAAACACAUAUCUGUACGAGGCCAGACCUUUCCCCCUACAUACUUAAAGUAAAACAACAUAUUACAACAGAGUGAAUGCAGUAGUUGUAAGAAACCAGCUGUUUGAUAUUAAAGAGAUGUGAAGCCUGAUAUUGAAGAGAUUUGCAAAAAUGUAAAACAAUGCCACUUUUCUCAUUAACUGUUUUUGGUUUUGGAAAAUACAGCUAUUCUUCAUAAACGUAUGUCAUUUAUGUUAACAAAUGAUGGAUUUAUUAUUGCUUUUAAAUGGUUUAAUCCUUUUAAAAACUGUAAUACAAUAAAUAACUAUGGGGCUAUAGCUCACAUAAGCCAGAGCCCUUUGGAGUUCCAACAACUUUUAACAGUAUAAAGAGCUUGGGGUGCCUGGGUGGCUCAGUUGGUUAAGCGUCUGCCUUCAGCUCAGGUCAUGAUCUCAGGGUCCUGGGAUCAAGCUCUGUGUGGGGCUCCCUGCUCAGCAGGGAGUCUGCUUCUCCCUUUCCCUCUGUCCCUCCCCCCCCUUGUGCUCACUCUCUCAUAUAAAUAAACAAAACCUUAAAAAAAUAAAAUAAAAAUAUAAAUAAAAAAAUAAAAAAUGUUUUAUCAACAUGGGCCGAUGUGAUCCAGGACCAGGCCUUUGGGCUAAGAUGAGAAAAGGAAGCAAAGAGAGGCUCAAAAUCUACAUACUGAGAAGUGGAAGAUGCUUUUAAUUAGAAAGAAUAGGAUGAAACUUUGAAAGACCUGGAAAAUUAAGGGACUGAGCCAAAACUAAUCUUAAAAUUUGAGCUGGAAGAGAGCUUAAACAUUAUUGAGUCUCAUGAUGCUAUUUUAGGAUGAGGAAUUUAGAUGAGGAAUCUCAGGCCCAGGGAUACGGUGACUUGCCCAAGGACACAUGUCAAUUUGUGGUAGAUGGGACUCUAGAUUCCCAGCAAAGACAGUCAUUCAUUCUUACCUCACACCGCCAAGAUCAAAUUGGGACCUGUUGCAAGAAGGAACACAAGCAAAAAAAAAAACAAAAAAAGAAGGAACACAAGUCAUUAUAGCCCCUGGGUGUGAAGAGUGACAUUCAUUCCAUUCAGUUACCAGGGAAAUGAUGAAAGCAUUGUUUCAGAAACAUUCACCAGGAAGAGGAAUGCAGGAAGACCUUUGAACUAGGUGUCUCAGUCCAUUCAGGUUCCAAUAACAAAGUUCCAGAGAUUGGGUGACUUAUAAACAACAGAUGUUUAUCUUUCACAGUUCUAGAAGCUGGAAGUCCAUGAUCGAAGUGGUGGCAGCUUCCAUGUCUGGUGAGGGUCUGCUUCUUGGUUCAUAGAUAGCCAUUUCCUCCCUGUGUCCUGACGCGGCAGAAGGAGGGAGGGAGCUCUCUGGGUCUCACAAAAGGGCACUAGUCCAAUUCAUGAAGCUCCAUCCUCAGGACCUAAUCACUUCCCAAAGGCCUGCCUCCUUUUUUUUUUUCUUCCAAAUUUUUAUUUAGAUUCUAGUUAGUUAACAUCUAGUGUAAUAUUGGUUUCAGGAGUAGAAUUUAGUGAUUCAUCACUUACACAUGACACCCAGUGCUCAUCAUAACAACACCCCUCCUUUAUGCCCAUCACCAAUGUAGCCCAUCCCCCACCCUCCUUUCUCCGUCAACCCUCAGUUGGUUCACUAUCAUGAAGAGUCUGUUACGGUUUGCUUCCCUGUCUCUCUCUCUCUCUCUCUUUUUUUCCCCUUACCCUAUGUUCAUCUGUUUUGUUUCCUAAAUUCCACAUGUGAGUGAAAUCAUAUGGUAUUUGUCUUUCUCUGAUUUACUUCACUUAGCAUAAUACAUUAGUUCCAUCUACAUCAUUGUAAAUGGCAAGAUUUCUUCUUUCUGUUGGCUGAGUCAUAUUCUGUUGUAUAUGUACACCACAUCUUCUUUAUCCAUUCAUCAGUCCAUGGACACUUGGGCUCUUUCCAUAGUUUGGCUAUUGUUGAUAAUGCUGUUAUAAACAUUGGGGUGCAUAUACCCCUUUGAAUCUGUAUUUUUGACCUAAUCACAUCCCAAAGGCCCCACCUCAUAAUACCAUCCCAUUGGGGAUUAGGAUUUCAACGUAAGAAUUUGGGGGGGGACAAACAUUCGGUCUAUGGCACUAGGGUUAGACAGACGGUUGAAGUCCUCAACUCUGAUGCUGGCAGUGGGACUGGAGAGGAAGAGUUAAAUCGGAAACAUAGGAAUCAGUGACAGGUUGGAAAUUGAGAUACAGCCUCAGAAGCACUCAUAAAUGACCUCCGAGGCUUCUAGUCUCCCGUGUUUGAAGCUUAGCUGUCUUCUGAUUGCACCUCAUUCAACAACUGGUUAUAAUUCUUCAUAAACCUCACAACAAUUUUUUUUCAGUUAAAUUCCACAAAAAUAUAUUGUUUAACUGCCUUCUGCAUCCAUUUUUGCUUUUCUCCUAAAUUGCUUCCUGUUCUUUGACCUAUGGUACCAUCUAUAUCACUAAGAAUGUCCAUAGGACAGUUACACAUCAAUGAGGUGAAGAAUUAAGAUAAAUAGUCGGUUAAUUUAAAGAACACUUUGCAUGACUGUUUCCUGAAGGCUUCUGGGGAAGGCAGUGGGCUGGCUCUUCUGAGUGGUUACCUCAGUUCUGCAUUCACCCAAUCCCCCCAACACUGAGGCCCACUUUGGAGAUAACAUCACGAGGAUCCUGAAGUGAAAACAAACAAAAUCCUGUAUUUAUAUCGAACAUCACCAAAGCCGUAUUGCACAGUAGUCAACUAGUGAAAAGGGAGCUCUAGAAUCAGAGCAUCCUAGGAUACUCUCCGUGCAAACCGCUGCACUUUUUAUUCUAAUGCUGACAGCAUGCACUGCACACAUCAUUGCUUUGCAUUUUGUAACUUUUAUAAGCCUUAUUUUGGAUACAAAUCAAUGUCUGGAAUGUCCAGAAUGUAGCAGUACUAAUGAAGAUUAGGAAGGCUGUGUGGUAAGGAACUUUUUAAAAUCUAUGCAAGAUGCUCUUCCGUCAUGCACACUGGUUUCCCGGGUUUAUUUCUCAGUAGAAGAUUCGAAGUAGAUUUCAGUAAUUGUUUCAUGCUUUUACACAGUAUCUUGGUAACACGAGGCAUUUACCUUGUCAUAUGCACUGAGAUCAGAAGUUUGCUCUUGAAUGCCCUGUUCAGUAUAGUGGCCCCCAACUAUAUGUGGCUAUUCAAAUUUAAACUUGUAUCAGGUAGAAUUAAAUAAGAUUUAAAAUCCAGCCAGCCCGCUUUUCACUGCUCAGUACCUCACAUGACUAACGACUGCCAUAUCGGAGCGCGCAGAUAGAGACUAUUUCUCUUACUGCUGGAAGCUCUAUGGAGCAAUAGUUAUCUAGGACAUAAUCUGUGGUUUUCAUUUUUUAAAUAUAUGGCUGUAGAAAAAUCAUACCCGACUUUUAAAGAACGUUAAUAAUUUGAAAAAUUGCAUACAAAAUGAAUUUUUGUUUUGGAAUUCUGUUUACAAAUUCAUGUUUUUAAAGUAAUUAAAAUGAAUACAGCCCAAAGCAUGUACUUGCAGAGGAGCUUUCUUCCAAGUUGCUUAUUCUCCCGGGCCAACAUUCAUUUAUUCAUUCACAAAAUAUUUACCGAGUGCCAGGCACUCUUCUGGGCUCUGGAACAACAUAAAUAAAUGCCUGGCCUCAUGGAGCUUACGUUGUGCCCAGUGGGAUGAGAGGCAAAUAUUAUUUCUGUUUUCAGGGCCAGACACAAAGGUAUUAUGUGCCAAACCAGUGAACAAAAUGAGAAUAUUCCAGUUCCUACUUUGUUGUUCAUUGAGAAGUCAUAGAAAGAGGCAAAUAUUAAGAAUAUAACUUCUGGGGCACCUGGGUGGCUCAGUCAGUUAAGUGUCCAACGCUUGAUUUCAACUCAGGUCAUGAUCUCAGGGUUGUGAGAUUGAGCCCCACGUUGGGCUCCACUGGGUGUGGAAGCUUCUUGGGGAUUCUCUCUCUCCCUCUCCCUCUGCCCCUCCCUCUGCUCUCUCCCUCUCUUUAAAAAAAAAAAAAUCAUUGAGUUCCUGAUCUCUCUUUCCUCGGCUAAGGAAAGUAUGUAAAUCUUGUAAAUAAAGGGUUUGCUCUGUUUAAAAAACAAAGAAUAUAACUUCUGAUUUUGAACUAUAGUCCCAUCAUCAAAAACAGGCCUUGCAAAAAAUUUUCAAAUAUUAUUUCUGAAAAACCAUGUUUGCCUGACAAAGCAGGUGAAGAACUUAUACACAGUUUCCAAUGUCACCAUCUUCCUUCAUGGAAUCAGAGUAUCUACAUUUGGAAGUGGUUUAGCUGCUUCUGUUCCAGCUUUCCUCCUGCAACAUCCAGCCAUGAAACCACUUCAUCUCUAGCUGAGCACUUCGGGUAGCAGAAAGCUCGCUGACUUAACAGACAGCAAGGGUAUGUUUUCAUCAGUCCCAACUUUCUUUAGUAUUAGUAUUAGAAUUAGUAUUAGUAUUACGGUAUCACAUAUCCGUAGUUCAAAGUUUAGGAAUAACAGAUAAAAACAAAAAUGUUAAAUUAGUUGUAUUCCUGCAACCCAGAGAGAUAACUACCAUCAGCAAUUUGAGAUAUAGUCUUCACGAAUUUCUCUGUGUCUGUCUCUAUCUCUAUCUCUCUACAUGCUUACAAAAUAAAUUUCUAUUAAAUUAAAGUUGUGCCAUUUGUAUCCUGCUUUUUCUAUUUAACCAUAUGGCACAAACAUUUUUUUUUUUUUUAAGAUUUUACCUAUUUAUAUGACAGAGAGAGAGCACAAGUAGGCAGAGUGACAGGCAGAUAGAGAGGGAGAAACAGGCUCUCCGCCGAGCAGGGAGCUGGAUGUGGGCUCGAUCCCAAGACCCCAGGAUCAUGACCUGAGCCGAAAGCAGCCGCUCAACGGACUGAGCCACCCAGGCGCCCCUGGCACAAACAUAUUUUCAUUCAAAUAAGUGUGACUCUACAGCACCAUUUUAACAGCCGUAUAAUUUUCCAUUCAGUGAAAAUAGAUAUAUAUGAAUAUCUAGAGAUAUCAUGAUUUAUGUAGAAAGUUCAUGUUGUUCGAAAUGUUUCAUUAUUAUAACCAAUAUCGUGUUGAACAUCCAUGUACACAUAUCUUCGGGAUGCUGAUAAAUUUCAGUGAACAAAAUCUAGAAACGAGACUCUAGAUUCUAGAGUGAAAGUUUCUACACAUAUGUAAGACUUUCAUGCAUAUUACCAAAUUCUCUCCCAGAAAAAUUGUGCCUGCAGCAGCGAGAAUGCCCAGCUCCCAAAGCCCUAGCCCAUGAUACUGUUCUUGAGGGACUUUCACCUUUCCUCUAUUUUUUACUCAUUGGUUCCCAGCUUGCUCCCGGGACAAACUUUCUACUGUUUGAAUAAAACCAUCAUGUCCUGCAAAGUCUCCUCCUUUUUAGACUUAAUAUCCCCCCAAUAUGGAUUAAUAAAUUAUUGUCAACCUGGAACCUGCAGGAUCAAUAAUUCUGUCCUUGAUCUUUUACGGCUCAACAUUCUAAUAGAUGACUUGGAGGAUCUGCACGCUUGCAGAUUCUGCUCAACAUUUAUUUAGUGCCUACCAAAUGCCAGGCGUGAUGCCUUGUUCUUAGGACGUAAAUACAAAUGAGCUCUCUUCCCAGCCCUGGAGGAGCUCUUAGAGCCAUCCAGAUGGAGAAGUAAGUGAUGCGGCUCGACCUACUGAUUUCCAACAUGGCACGUGUGGUAACCAGUAUUUGUGACAGAGGGGCACCAGACGUCCCUGUCCCUUUCACAGGGCUGCCACACAGCGACUGGGAGACUCUGCUCUGGUCAACGGCAUGUCAGGCCCUGUUCGCCAGGACAGUGCCAUAGAAAUCCUUUUUUGAAGUGUCACGCCCUUUCGCCCAGUAUGGCCACAGCAGAAGCAUGUCUCCAAUACGCUGGGACACUUGUGUCCUGUGGCUUAGCUCUGGCUCUCCCUCCUUCCGACAAUUUCCCAAGAGACGUUUUGUCGGCGAAUACAAAACCAAACGCAUUUUGAAGAGUUUUAGGACCCAGUCACUUUAAACUUAAAGAAGAUAAGCGGCUUCACAUCCUUUUGGGAGGGGAAUCAAGCAGGGCAUAAGUACGCAAGACGGUAAAUCCGAAAGUCCGCUGUGAAAGAUAAAUUAGGCUGGGAACAGAGAAAGCAAUGCUCCAAACUCUAAAACAUCCAGCACUUCGUGAUUGACGGAUGAUUCUGUUACUAAUAAUUACGAAUAUUAAUCCAGAACUUUCUUG